GCUUACGGCCAUACCACUCUGAACAUGCCCGAUCUCGUCCGAUCUCGGAAGCUAAGCAGAGUUGGGCCUGGUUAGUACUUGGAUGGGAGACCGCCUGGGAAUACCAGGUGCUGUAAGCU
This 119-nucleotide ribosomal RNA is filed under the name Sparus aurata (gilthead seabream). Lineage: Eukaryota; Metazoa; Chordata; Actinopteri; Spariformes; Sparidae. The record is from RNAcentral.